Molecule: long non-coding RNA, 19987 nt
Filed under: Lynx pardinus (Iberian lynx)
Lineage: Eukaryota; Metazoa; Chordata; Mammalia; Carnivora; Felidae
Source: RNAcentral
CAGCAGCUCCAGGUUACAUUCUACCAAUUUAGUAACCCUAGCAGAAAGCAUCUCUAUCAUUCUCAGGUAAGACUGUCAUUGGUCCAUCUUGGGUCACGUGGACAUUUCUGAAACAAUCACUGUGUCUGAGGUGUGUUGUGUUGCUCUGGUUGGCCAGGACUAAUGCUGGAGUUUGGGUCAGCCCAACCAGAACUAUAUGGAUUGAGAAUGGGGAUGGAAAAGUCAUGAUAUCAGAAAAGAAGGGAUGAUGGGCAGGUAAAAUGGAUGUCCAUCACACACACAUCCAUUGAACUAGUGGGACUCAACAGUCUCUGAUACAGGUUGCCUAUGCCUCAAUAGACACUAUGGGUGAUUCUCCGAUCUAUCCUCAAAGGGCUCACUACACAGGGCUGUGCUUUUCCUAGUUUGGUCUCAAGGGUUGCACUGUUCUGCAGACCAGUUAUAUAACAAAGCAUUCUGUUCAAGGGAAAUGGCUCAUGCCUGGCUUGAGUUCUGUGGUGGCCUGGGCCAGCUGAGUGAAAGAGACAGGUAUCUAAUACCACAAGGGGACACAGUGUCAGCUGCAGAAGCACUGAGCAGGCCAAAUCUGCCAUUGGGAGGGCAUACUGACAGAUAGCAAGCUGUAACAUAGGCCAGCAGUUGGUAUCUGAAGCCAAACAGAAAAUGAUGUGUUGUCUUACUGAGAAGAAUUCUGAGAUAGUAGAUACUCAGGUUUUCGGACAAAUAGAUAAGUCUGGUCAGCUGGUAGUAGGACCCCAGUCCCUGGACUAAAGUUCGGGGACAUUCCAGUCCCAAGGAGUGGGUAAUUGAAAGGAACAGGCAGGCAUGCCCCAGUUGCGGGGUUAUCAGGAUUGGAUGUAAGGCACCAGGACUGGGUCUGGAGUCCAAGGCAGGGCUGAGUCUUAAUGAAACUGAAGGUCAUCUAUCUGAUAGAACUUGGGUAUAAGUUCAGACGAGCAACCCUAGCUAGAGUGAGGGACUAAAGUGCCAUAAAUUCCUCCUUCUGUGUGGGAUCCAAUGACCAGAUCAAGCCUGAGCCUACAGGUGCUAUUGAUGGCCUCAGCUAAGGGGAAGGAGGGAGACAGAAGAUGGCCCCACCACAAGGUCUAACAAAUUACAAAAUAUAAAAGGCAUGUGUUCUCUCAUUGGAAUGCAUAACUUAGUAAAAAUUAAAUUGAAAAAUUUCAGCUGGGAUGUAUUAAGAAACAAAGAACUGGGAAAGAAAUGAUGCACUUCUAAUUGGAUGUUAAAUGAGAUAUCCCUAUUUCCUUAGUUCAGAGCCUAGAAUAAUAGGUUACAAGUGCCCCCGUGUUGCAAGGAGAUGUGUCAGAUCAUUUAAGCAUGACUUGCUCAGGGGGUAGCCCCCUAAUUGGUUCUAAAACCUGUAGACUGUCACCCACUUUUGUCCUGAGAAAAGAAAAUUAAGGAGAAGAGGGUUUUUUAAAGUUUAUUUAUUUAUUUUGAGAAUGAGAGUGUGCAGGCAGGAGAGGGGCAAAGAGAGAGGGAGGGAGAGAGAGAGAAUCCUAAGCAGGUUCAGAGCUGUCAACACAGAGCCUGAGGUGGGGCUUUAACUCACAAACCGUGAGAUCAUGACCUGAGACAAAACCAAGAGUUGGACGCUUAAAUGACUGAGCCACUCUUGCACCCUAGGAGAAGAGGCUUAAAAAGCAAGGAUUUCUUUGAAGACAAUUUUCAGAGUGCUGUGUUUGUCUCACUUUCUAGUCAAGGGAAGGGAAAGAGUGGGGAUCUGCCAGGAAAGGAGACUGACUGACAUCUCAUGGCCAUGUGUGCUGAGUGGAAGAAAUGCCCCCGAGGUAGCUGGGAGGUAGAGCAGAGUGUAUGGAGAUAAGAGUUUUGGGGACAAUCUGACCUGAGUGUCCAGAGUUGUGAGGUAGAGGGACUGAUGUUUUAUCUCAGUCCUGAGGGCUAGGUCAGAGGCUGGAGGACCAAAGACUGUAAGUUAAAGGGAUUGGAAGGGAGAGUUGACAGAGUGAGUUUGAAAGGCAGUAGUAAGAAAGAAUAAAUUAAGAAAGAAUAAAAUUGUUCUUUCCUUUGUAUAAAAGGGAAGACUGAGUUUUCUUUUUAGCUGUGCCACAUAUUAGCUGGGCGAGUGUGGAAAACCACUUGAUCUUUCUGGGUCUCAGCUUUCUUUUCUAUAAAAAGAAAAAUUGGAUUAGACUGUCUUUUUUUUAAUUAAAAAAAAUUUUUUUUUAAUUUUUAGAGAGAGAAAGUGAGUGGGGAGAGGGGCAGAGGGAGAGAGAAUCUCAAGCAGGCUCCAUACUCAGCAUGGAGCCUGAUGCAGGGCUCGAUCCCAUGACCCUGGGAUCAUGACCUGAACCAAAAUCAAGAGUAGGACACUCAACCCAGUAAGCACCCCUGGACUGGACUGUCCUCAAGUUAUCUUCCAUGACUUUCUAAUUCCAUGGGUGUAUUCGGCUGAACUCUAUGGUGACUCCUGGACUAGAGCAGAUUAUUAUAGUAUAUAUACAUUCUAUUACACUAGAUGCUAGAAAUUCGGGUCUCAAGGGUACAGCAUUAUCCCCUUCCCCACCCCCCUUUUCUCUUAACAAGUAUUUAAAAGAUGAACUAACUUAAAAACUUCAUAGGAAAAAGUCACCCAUAAUACUACCAACCUGACAUAUAACUAAUUAUAUUUUGGUACUUUCCUUUCCAGAUCUUGACCACUUACACAUGUAUUUGCUCUGGGUGCAAUCACUACCACACACUUUUUGUGUUCUUAUAGCACACCAGUUCAAUAAUAAACUGUUCAUGACCAAGAGGAAAAAGCUUAGAGUGCUUCCAAUUAUUGCACAAUAAGAGUAGGCAAGGAACAAGCUGGCCUUUGAUAAUACAGUCUUUUGGGGCACAGGACUACUCUGGUGUAGCCUCUCUUUCUUCUUAAGUCCCCUUCCCCCAUCCCCACCUUCACUUCCUGAUCCUUUAGCAACAACAGGAACUCAAGAGGCCCAGUAGGGCUAAGCCACAGCAGCCUGUGAUCUACAUGACAUUCAUUCUGAGAUUGUUUCUGGGUUAGAAAUACCAGAUGAUCCAUUUAGCAGACAUCACGACAGCCACCAGAGAGUUAUGUCAAGCCCUGAAAACCACAGAGAAAACUAGUAUCAAGGGGGAUAGAGAGAUGUACUGGUGAUUCUACUGUUGUUAAGGUAGGAAUGAGGAGAUGUUUGCAGAUGAUCAGUAGGGUGAUGACACUCCACCCACUUCAGUGCCAACACUUCUGCCUCCAUCCCUAUGACUUCAGUCUUAAUCACAGGAGCACAACUGAGUCCAGCGCCAUCAAAGUCAAGUUUUUGGAGCAGCCUUUGUACUUCCUCACCUACACAGAGAAGGAGAUGUCUCAUUUUAAACCUUGAGAUGCUGUGUCUUAUAACAGUCUGGUAUUAUGGAAACUUAAAGAACAGAGCUGGAGGUAAAGGGCAAUGGGCCUACAGAAGCAGGUAGGUAGGACUGGUUCAUGGAGUCCCUGGGGCUUGCAGGGGCGGAGGAGUCUCAGACAAUUUGAAGCAGGGAUGUGACAUGCUCAGAUUUGUGUUUUAAAAAGAUCACUCUGGUAAAAGUGUGGGUAAUUACUUGAAAACGCCAAGACUGGAGGCAGAGACCUGAAGUUAUCAUAAUUCCGUGAAGACAUUAAAAUUUGUAGAAAAAACAUAGGAUUUCAUUAUUAGAAGAGAAAAAGGACAAAAUGUGCAAGAUGCUAGAGAGAAUACCAUCCCCUUGGAGAGUUCCACAGCUGAAAUAUCUUCUGUGUGGGUUGCCUUCUUAUUUGGCAUUGAACAUGCUAAAGAAAUAUGAGUUCACAUUAUAUUCUGAUUACAAAAACAAUUGAUACUCAUUGUAAACAUUUCAAACAUUUCAGAAAUAUUUCAUUUAGGAAGUAAAAGUCCUGCACAAUCCACCCCUUACCCCUCACCCCGAGGUAAUAGCUGUUGCUAGUAAAAUACCUUUCUCACAGUGGGAAAUCCUGCUCUUACCAAAGGACUUGAAAUGCCUUACAACCAGAUCUCAAAAGGCAAUGCAAUGCUCAGAUUCCCCAAAGAGUAAAUGAUGAAAGAGUAUUCAGAGAAGGAAAGCUAUACAGAAAUAACUGGGUGAAAAAGAUUAAAUGCUAAAGGAGGUAAUUCCCAAUUAUAUCUCCUGCUCAAGGGUUCACUUGCCUGAAGCUAUCUAGGGUACUUGGCUAAGUGGGUGGCUAGUGUUCACUUCAGUGGAAUAAAUAAGCUGUAAAAGUUUACCUUCAUUCUUGUUAACUGUUGAUAUGCUGCAGUUUACUUUUGGAAAGAAAAAAGUGUAUUCCUGAGGCUAAAAAGGGUUUUCUAUUCCUAGCAGGUGUGUUGACCUGGUAGAUAACAAUAGAAAAUAGUUAAGAUCACAGGAAUCUACCCCCAAAACCAAGAGUACACUGUAUACGCUUUAUGUUAGCCAACUUGACAAUAAAUUAUAUUUUUAAUAUAUUUUUUUUCAACGUUUAUUUAUUUUUGGGACAGAGAGAGACAGAGCAUGAACGGGGGAGGAGCAGAGAGAGAGGGAGACACAGAAUCGGAAACAGGCUCCAGGCUCUGAGCCAUCAGCCCAGAGCCUGACGCGGGGCUCGAACUCCCGGACCGCGAGAUCGUGACCUGGCUGAAGUCAGACGCUUAACCGACUGCGCCACCCAGGUGCCCCAAUAAAUUAUAUUUUUAAAAAAAGGAAAAUAAUUCAGGAUCUUUGUGCCCAUGUGUACUUGUCAGAUUGGGAUAUUAACACCUCCUGACUCCCUAGACAGGUAAUGAAGCAGUUGAGUGAUUUCUUCUUGGUCACUUGCUUUUGAAAUGACAGGGGAAAAAUCUAGAUUUGAGGCCUUUUUAAGAAAGGAAUUGUCCAUUCUAGACAAUUCUUGGAGAAUUUCUUUAGAAAGAAAGCCUUUCUUGGAACCCAUCCUGAGGUUUAACAAUUUUUACCAUCAGGAAUCCUGAACUUUUUCAGGGCACCUGGCUGGCUCAGUUAUUUGAACCUCCAACUCUUGAUUUUGGUUCAGGACAUGAUCCGAGGGUCAUGGGAUUGAGCCCUCAGUUGGGCUCUGUGCUGAGCAUGGAGCCUUAAGAUUCUGUCUUUCCCUCUGUCCCCUCUCCCUAAUUCAUGUGUGCUCUCUCUCUCUAAAAUAAAUAAAUAAGUAAAAAUAAAUAAAUAAAUAAAUAAAUAAAGUAAUUAAUUAAAUAAAUAAAAUAAAAAUAGAAAGAAAGAAAGAAAGAAAGAAAGAAAGAAAGAGAAAGAAAGAAAAAUUCUGAACUCUUUCGAUUGCUAUAACAGAAACUUAAUUCAGACAAUCUUCUGUGAAAAAAGGAAGGUUACUGUUUCAUGCCUCUAACACUUGACAAAGGUAGAGUUGGUUUCAGGUAUACAAACUUCUUUGGGAAUUAUAAUUAGAUUCGAGAAAUUCUACUUCAGUACCUGCAUGAUGCUUGAGUGGAGGAGGCACAUUCUUAGAAGUUGUGGAAUGGUCAUGUUUGGCCAUAUGCAUGGUCAAAACAUUGAGAGCUAGUCUUUGAUGGCAGAGGAUGCCAAAACAGCUGUGCAGAAAGAAAUAGAAAGAUGGUAAGGGGAUGAUGCUUUGCUGAAAUACCUUUUCUUUGCACUAGUUUGAUGUGAAUUUCUCUUAGUUGCAACCCAAAGAAUCAUGACUGCUAUGGAUUGAAUAUUUGUGUCCCCUCAAAUUUCAUAUGUUGAAGACUUUAAUCCCCAAUAUGAUGGUAUUUGGAGUGGGGAGGCCUUUGAGAGAUGAUUAGAUUUAAAUGAGGUGAUUGGGUGGAGCCCCCAUGAUGGGUUAAUGCCCUUCUAAGCAUUGGAAGAGAUACUAGAACUCUCUUUCUCUGCCAGAUGAAGAAGGAAACAAGAAGGCAGCUGUCUGCAAGUCAGGAAGAAAAUCCUCACCAGGAGCCAAAUCAGCAGGCACCUUGGUCUUGGACUUCCCAGCUUCCAAAACAGUGAGAAAUAAACAUCUGUUGUUUAAGCCACCUAGUCUAGGUAUUUUGUUAUGGUAACCUGAGCUGACUAGGACAAUGACUAAGAAAACUACUAGAGAAAAUUAGUAAUAGCCUUUGUUGUAUACUCUCUAAAAGAUGUAGAGAAAACAUCUAUGCUUUGAGAGGGAAACCUCUCAAAGGUCAUCAAUUUCUAGUUGCCAAACCCAAUGAUUCUCAUUCAGUUUCCAUUCUUCUUUGCCAUGUUGACUGUCCUUGCCUUCUUUUUGUUUUUUUAAGUUUGUUUAUUUAUUUAUUUUGAGAUAGAGGGAGCACAAGCAGGGGAGGGGCAGAGAGAGGGAGAGAGAGAAUCCCAAGCAAGCUCCACGCUGUCAGUGCUGAGCCCAACUCAGGGCUCAAUUUCACUGACCACAAGAUCAUGACCCGAGCCAAAAUCAAGAGUCAGUUGCUUAACUGAGUCACCCAGGUGCCCCAUCUGUCCUUGCCUUCUUGAAUCUCUUCUACUUUGGCCUCUGUGACUCCCCCCAUCCAUGGAUUCUCCUUUUACUUUUCUGACAGCUCUUUCUCUGUAUCCUUCAGUCUUUUCUUUUCUCCACUUGCCCUAUACAGGAGAUCUCUGAGAUUUGUUCUUGGACAUCCUAUCCUCUUGCUCUACCCACUUUGCUGAAUAAUUUUAUUUACUCCCACAAUUUUCUGUCUCACUCAUAGGCUGUUCCUACAUAUCAUUUCCUCAUUUAUUAUUCAUAGCCUUAAAGUUUGCUGAGCUUUAGGUCCUGAUUUUUACUGUCCUGGUGAAUACCUCCACCUGCAUAAGAUGCAAAGACUAUAAAUAUGUCCCAAACUGAACUUCUCCUUACCCUAAUCUAGUCUCAAAACACUUUUUUAGUUACCAGUACCUCUAAUACUGGCAAUCCACACUCUCUUCCAGGCUCUAGCUCAGUUUUAUAGGCUUCCUUCACCAACACCGCUUCUCCUCUACCCCAUUCCAUUCUCACUUUCUUGUCUAAAUCCUGCCUUGUCCAAUGUUCAUUUUCCUCCUUUUGCUUUGUUGACUACUGCUUUCCAAGAACAUGCCAUACAUUUUUAUGCUUCCAUGAGUUGCUUAUGGUUUCCUUCUCCUUGGAACGCUGUUUCCCCACUGUUACCUAUCUAAAUCCUACUCAUCUUUCAAAAUCCAACUCAAAUGCUAAUUCUUCUAUGGAGCCUCCUGACACACCUUGUCAAAACCAAGCAUUCACCUCUUUGGGCUCCCACAGAACCACCAGAACAAGUACUAUAAUCCUUUUGGAGUUAUUGUGAGUUACGUAUUUUCUUUUCUCUCCUGGUAGCGUGUGAUUUUUCUUGAGGGAAGGAAGCAUCAUAACAGUGCACUGCACAAUUCAGAUGCUCAAUAACAUUUGUCAAAUUGAAUCAGAGAAGAAAAUAAUUGAAAAAAAUGAAGAUAUCUUUAAUAAGAGGCAAAGUUGCUUAAGAAAGACAUUAAUACUUUGGAGGACUAUUCUCUUAUAUAAAGUCUUUGCUGUUAAAAAAAUUGAGUGACAGGGGCACCUGGCUGUGUCAAUUGGUAGAGCAUGUGACUCUUGGUCUUAUGGUCGUGAGUUUAAGUCCCAUAUUGGUUGUAGAGCUUCCUUAACAAAUAACAGUAGAGCGAGAGACAGGCAGUAGCACACAGGGCAGAUUCCUUCUUAACUCUUCUUAGCAGGUGAUUUUCAUUUGGCCUUUACCCUGAAACCCAAGUGGGCCUUCCCUUUAAAAUGUUUUGUUUGAAUAAGCUGAGAUUUCUUAAAAUUCAUAUCUUGAGAGAUUUUAUUGUUUAAGCAGAAGAGAGAACUCUGAACUCACACAUUAUCACAUUAUAUGGUUUUGAUAUGUGGUGGGCUCCACAUAUAUUACUAAUUGGCUUAUGACGAAAUCUAAACCUAUCAGGACAGAAGAAGCAGUAGAACAUAUUAAGUGAAAGCUUGGCUCUGGAGCAGGACUGCCAGAGCCUGAAUUAGGCAAAUUAACUUCUCUGUGCCUCAGUUCCCUCUUGCGUCCAGUGGAGAUUGUAAUGGACCUACUUCACAAGCUUAUUAUGAAGAUUAGACAGAUUGAUGUAUGCAAAGUUCUUGAACAGGCUAGGCACAUGGUAAGCAUUCAGUAAUUAUUCUGUGUUAUUAUUAUUUUCAAUUACCACUUUCAACUGGGAUGGCAAAUCCCUGUCUCCUGUACCUUAAUGACACCCCUGGAAGAUUCUAUGACUUGACUACUACAAUUCAGUUCAAUCUGGUUUCAAACAUCAGUCUCAUGAUUGGUUCAAAGUUCUCUGCCUCACCCAAUACAAGCUAGACUUACUGGCAGGAGGACACUGUGUGACUUUUUCAAUCAUCCUCCUGUUGUAGUGACCUAGAGGGUGCCUGGAGGGGGGGUGGCGUUGGAUCAUGUUCUGGGGCACUGGGUCCCCUUCCCAGUUCUUGGGACUGGGUCAGGAAGAGAGAUGAGACAGUCAGAGCUCUCCUUAUAUAGCUAGCUUCCUCUUGUUAGGAAUGCAUCCCUGAAACUCACUGCUGUGGUUCUCUUUUGUUCUGCUCCUGCUGUGGCCUCUGAUGAAAUGGUAGCCUCCACUGGAUGGGUGCACACUGUUUAGUUUUACCCUAGGUACCUCUUUAGCGUUAGAUUACUGAAGCACAGUUGAUGCUGCAGAGGAGACUGGAAACGAUGCUUGAUUUUGUUGUUUUAUUGUUCUUUUUUUUUUUCUUUUUUUUUAAUUUUUUUUUUCAACGUUUAUUUAUUUUUGGGACAGAGAGAGACAGAGCAUGAACGGGGGAGGGGCAGAGAGAGAGGGAGACACAGAAUCGGAAACAGGCUCCAGGCUCUGAGCCAUCAGCCCAGAGCCUGACGCGGGGCUCGAACUCCCGGACCGCGAGAUCGUGACCUGGCUGAAGUCGGACGCUUAACCGACUGCGCCACCUAGGCGCCCCAGUUGUUUUAUUGUUCUGACAAGAGGGACAGCUUACAAUUAGAACACUCUUAUUUCCCACCAUGCCUGCUGAAUAAGCCUCCAGGGAGGAUGUAUAAUAAAGCUCAAUGUGGCUGAAGCAGAUCACAGACCAGAAGCCCAGAUGCUACUCAAAGGGUUUCUGGAUCUCAAGUAUCUUUAUAUUUUUAUUUUAAAGCUUUUUAAAAUGUUUAUUUGACACAGAAAGAGAGAGAGAGAAAGAAAGAGAGAGAGAGUGAAAGGGGGAGGGGCAGAGAGAGAGGGGGACAGAGGAUCCAAAGCCUGAUCCUGGGCUCGAAUUCAUGAACCAGGAGACAAUGACCUGAGCUCAAGUUGGAUGCUCAACUGACUGAGCCGUCCAGUUGCCCCAUGGAUCAAUUACUUUAAAGAGAGUGAUAACCCAAAAAUAACAUUUAUUGAAUAUCUACUAAAGCUAGGUACUUAUGCCUAAAGCUAGGUAUACAUUAUCUAUUGUAUAUGAUAAGGAUUACUAGUUCUAUUUUACAGAUGAGGAAAGUGAAGGUAAGAGGAAUGAAAUCAAUUGCCAUUAUUUUUGAGGGCCUUGCUCCUUACAUAAAAUUUCCACACUGAUCCAAAAAGAUUUCAGAGAGGAGAGGUGUUUGAGUGGCUCAGUUAAGCCUCUGACUCUUGAUUUCAGCUCAGUUCUUGAUCUCACUUGUUCGUGAGAGGGUUUGUGAGAUGGAGCCCUGAGUUGGGGUCUGCACUUGCUGUGGAGCCUGUUGGGAUUCUCUCUCCCUCUCCCUCUGCCCCUCUCCACUCACAGACUCAGUCUCUCUAUCUCUUAAAAAAAAAAAAAAAAAAAAGAUUUCAGAGAGGCAAUAUUACCAAAGUCAUAUUUUGGACAUUUAGGAUAAAGCUGUGAUUGCUAAUGUUAAUUUUUUUAAUGAUGCAAAUAUACAUCUUUACUUGGUAUUAAUUCAUCACAAGUAUAAAGGCCAUAAAAUAUCUUAAUUUUUACCAUUCUUAUAGUAUUUUCCCCCAGUAUUUACUUAUUUAUUUAUUUAUUUAUUUAUUUAUUUAUUUAUUUAUUUAUAUUUAAAACUCCAGUAUAAUAAACAUACAGUGUUAUGUUAGUUUCAGGUGUACAAUAUAGUGAUUCAACAAUUUUAUACACUACUCAGUCCUCAUCACAAAAGGUAUGCUCUUAGUCCCCUUCACCUAUUGCACAUCCCCCUAUAUUGCCUAUCCCCACCUCUCCUCUGGUAACCAUUAAUUUGUUCUCUGUAGUUCAGAGUCUGUUUCUUGGCUCGUCUCUCUCUCUUUUUUUUCCCCUUUGCUCAUUUGUUUUGUUCCUUAAAUUCCACAUAUGAGUAAAAUCCUAUGGUAUUUGUCUUUCUCUGACCGACUCAUUUCACUUAACGUUAUACUCUCUAGCUCCAUCUGAUGCGGUUUUGGAGUGGUGGUGGGGUCUGAAGCCUAUGGCCAAGAAAGAAUUCUUGAGACAUCUUUGGAGCAAAAGGUGAUUUUAUUAAAGCAUGGGGACAGGACCUGUGGGCAGGAAGAGCUACACAGGGAUUGUGAAGAGUGACUGGUUAUAUAUAUACCUUGGAGUUGGAAGAGGUAAAGGCCAAAGGGAGAUUUCCACAAGGACUUUGAUAUGCUAAAGAUGACUCAUAAGAUACUGGAGGCCUAGCUAUUGUCAAGCUAAGGUUGUUUUUCCCUCUAGCCAAUCAUUAACAUUAAGAUAGUUGGGAGUUUCUGGAGAAAUGGUAUAUUCCUCCUGCCUCAAGUAUUAGCCAAUGGGCUGCAGGUUAUAAAGGAAUUUAAUUGUAUCUACCAUUUCCGUCUUGUCUUUGUUCCUCACAUCACUGUGGAAGGGAUGGUGAUGAUAGGGCUCCAGGAAGCGGAGUCUAUGGGUUUCUAGAGACUAGACUAUUGAUAAGAUUGCCUUUUUUUCUGGUGAUUUACAAAGACAUUUAUAAACUGAUGGAGACAGGAAUAUCACACAUACCCCACCUGAGGGAGGAGGGUUUUGCAGGGUGUCAGCUUGAUUUAUGGUCCCUCAUCACAUUUACACCAUUGAAAAUGGCAAGAUUUCAUUCCUUUUUUAUGCUAAUAUUCUAAUAUAUAUAUAUAUAUAUAUGUAUAUCACUUCUUUAUUCAUCUAAAGAUGGACAUUUGGGAUGCUUCCAUAUCUUGGCUAUUGUAUAAUGCUGCUAUAAACAAAAGGGGUACAUAUGUCUUUUUUUUUUUUUAAUUUACAUCCAAAUUAGUUAGCAUAUAGUGCAACAAUGAUUUCAGGAGUAGAUACCUUAGUGCCCCUUACCCAUUUAGCCCAUCCCCUGCCCUUGCACAACCCCUCCAGUAACCCUCAGUUUGUUCUCCAUAUUUAUGUUUUUGUAUUCUCUGGGUAACUACCCAGUAAGUGGAAUGACUGGAUCAUAUGGUAAUUCCAUUUAAUUUUUUGAGGAACCUUCAUAUUGUUUUCCACAGUGGCUGCACCAGUUUGCAUUCCCACCAAUAGUGCACAAGGGUUCUUUUUUCUUUACACUCUCACCAACACUUGUUGGUUCAUAUCCAUCUUUAUAGUCUUUUCACCAGAGAACUAAAGAAAAGGAUGAUCUUAUUGAUAUUAGUUCAAUGCCCCCCCCCUUUUUUUUUCUCGUGGGCACUUUUUCUAUCCUUUUAUUUUAAUUUUUUUAACGUUUUUUUAUUUAUUUUUGAGACAGGCAGAGACAGAGUAUGAACAGGGAGGGUCAGAGAGAGGGAGACACAGAAUCCGAAACAGGCUCCGGGCUCUGAGCUCUGAGCUGUCAGCACAGAGCCCGAGGCGGGGCUCGAACUCACGGACCGUGAGAUCAUGACCUGAGCUGAAGUCGGCCGCCCAACCGACUGAGCCACCCAGGCGCCCCUUUCUAUCCUUUUAAAAUGUGUCUUCUCAGGGCGCCUGGGUGGCUCAGUUGGUUAAACGUCCAACUUUGGCUCAAAUCGUGAUCUCAUGGUUUGUGGAUUUGAGCCCUGCAUUAGGCUCUGUGCUAACAGCUCAGGGCCUGCUUGGGAUUCUCUCUCCCUCUCUCUCUCUGCCCCUCCCCCACUCUCUCUCUCUCUCUCUCUCUCUCUCUCUCUUUCUCUCUCUCAAAAUAAAUAAACUUUAAAAAAAAGUUUUACUGAAAACUAUAGAAAGCUUAUGAAUGAAAUUGAAGAAGACACAAAAAAUGGAAAAACAUUCCAUGCUCAUGGAUUGGAAGAACAAAUAUUGUUAAAAUGUUGAUAUUGCCCAAAGCAAUCUAUAUAUUCAAUGCAAUCCCUAUCAAAAUAACACCAGCAUUCUUCACAGAGCUAGAACAAACAAUCCUAAAGUUUGUAUGGAACCAGAAAAAUGACCCCAAAGAGCCAANNNNNNNNNNNNNNNNNNNNNNNAAGAAAACCAAAGCUGAAGAAGGCAUAACAAUUCUGGACUUCAAGCUGUAUUACAAAGCUGUAAUCAUCAAGACAGUAUGGUAGUGACACAAGAACAGACACUCAGAUCAAUGGAACAGAAUAGAGAACCCAGAAAUGGACCCCAAAAGGUAUGGUCAACUAAUCUUUGACAAAGCAGGAAAGAAUAUCCAAUGGAAUAAAGACAGUCUCUUCAGCGAGUGGUACUGGGAAAACUGGACAGCGACACGCAGAAAACUGAACCUGGACCACUUUCUUACACCAUACACAAAAAUAAACUCAAAAUGGUUGAAAGACUGAAACGUAAGACAAGAAGCCAUCAAAAUCCUCGAGAAGAAAGCAGGCAAAAACCUCUUUGACCUUGGCCACAGCAACUUCUUACUCUACAUGUCUCCAGAGGCAAGGGAAACAAAAGCAAAAAUGAACUAUUGGGACCUCACCAAAAUAAAAAGCGUCUGCACAGCGAAGGAAACAAUCAGCAAAACUAAAAGGCAACUGGCAGAUGGGAGAAGAUAUCUGUAAAUGACAUAUCAGAUAAAGGGUUAGUACCCAAAAUCUAUAAAGAACGUAUCAAACUCAAUACCCAAAAGACAAAUAAUCCACUGAAGAAAAGGGCAAAAGAUAUGAAUAGACACUUUUCCAAAGAAGACAUCCAGAUGGCUAACAGACACAUGAAAAAAUGCUCAAAAUCACUUAUUAUCAGGGAAAUACAAAUCAAAACCACAAUGAGAUAGCACCUCACACCUGUCAGAAUGGCUAAAAUUAACAAGUCAGGCAACAACAGAUGUUGGCAAGGAUGGGAAAAAAGAGGAACCCUUUUGCACUGCUGGUGGGAAUGCAAACUGGUGCAGCCACUCUAAUAAACAGUAUAGAGUUUCCUCAAAAAAUUAAAAAUCAAAUUACCCCAUGACCCAGCAACUGCACCACUAAGUAUUUAUCCAAAGAAUACAGGUGUGCUGUUUUGAAGCACAUGCACCCCAAUGUUUAUAGCAGUGCUAUUGACAAUAGCCAAAGUAUAAUGGAAUAUUACUCGGCGAUCAACAAGAAUGAAAUCUUGCCACUUACAACAACAUGAAUGGAAUUAGAGUGUAUUAUGCUAAGUGAAAUUAGUCAGUCAGAGAAAGACAAAUAUAUGAAUUCACUCAUGUGGAAUUUAAGAUACAAAACAGAUGAACAUAAAGGAAGGGAAGCAAAAAUAAUAUAAAAACAGGGAGGGGGCAAAACAUAAGAAAUAAUAUAACAUAAACAUAGAGAACAAACUGAGGGUUGCUGGAGGGAUUGUGGGUGGGGGGAUGAGCUAAAUGGGCAAGGGGCAUUAAGGAGGAUGAGCACUGGGUGUUGUAUGUAGGGAAUGAAUCACUGGAUUCUACUCCUGAAAUCAUUAUUGCACUAUAUGCUAACAAACUCAGAUGUAAAUUUUAAAAAGUUUUACAAUGUGUCUUCUCCAUACAUGUGUAAUCUCUUCAUCUUAGUUGAGCAAACUUUUUCAUUAUUAAUUUGCAUGUUCCAUUGAAUAACAGUAUGUUUUAGGGAGACUCUGGCAAGAGCUAAUGAGGAAAACAUGUAUAAUGGUUUCUAAGAUUUGCUAAUGGUUUUUGAUUUCCUCUGAUCUCAGAUCCAAGUGGUGAAACUAGCACUCUGUGUUUUAUACACUCAUACCAUGUAAAGAAACUGGGGCCAAGAGCACAGUUAGAAGUUGGCAAUGGACACAAUAAUCCCAAUUCAUUUCUUUUUCUUUUUGGCAAGAAGAUAAUUCACUGAAAAUUAAAAAUUUUUCUUUUUAAAUCUUUAAAUAAAUCACCCUUCCAAAGCUCUUUCUCUUAGUCACUUGCUUGCCAUCUGUGAACCACCACCAAUUCAAUUAUAAAUAAAUAUUUAUAAAAAUCCUGCUGUGUACCAAGCAGUGCUGGAAUACUGUGGUCACCAAGGGAGACAAGGUGCUUGCUUUCAUGGUGCUUAGGUCUUACCUAGGGAAACGGACAAUAAUCAGAUGAAUAAUAAAAUUUCAGGUGACGUGAUAUGAGGACAACAAGACUAAGUGUCAUGAAGCAGGGUGAUGAGAAGAGUAAUAGCAAGUAGGAUAGUCAGGAACGACCGACAUUUGACUGAAACCUGAAUGACGAGGAGGCAGCUACUCAAAGAUUUGGGAAAAGAGCCUCUCCAGCCAAGGAACUAGCAGGCACAAGGGCCUGGGAAUUAUUUGGCAAUUUUAAUGUUUUGGAUACUGAGAGUAUGAGUCCCCUCUUCAUUCCCCCCAACCCUCACUGACAGAACCCGAUGGCAAGUACAGUGUGAGAUUGAAAGAUUGUGUUUAACUUCUGGAAGUUAAAAGGCUUGUAGGGAAAUAUGCAGAAGUCAAGAAGAAAAUAAAGGUGAACUGAAGCCCAAAUUGUAGUCCAGGCCUACUAAGAAGCUUUCCUAUAAUGAAGGUAAAUUCUACAAUUUGAUUCCGUUUUAUUGAUUCAAUGAUGUUAUUGACUAGCAAAGAAUCCACCCUAAAUCACUCUUCUGUGCUCAUUGCAUCACUUUAUUUAUAACUAAAUGUUUCCUGAAGUAAAGUAGAAAACAACUACUUUGCUCUCCGUAUUUAUACUCCUCAACAGAGAUCCCAUAGUAGACUUUCUUACAUUUGUGGUAAACUACUUUUAACCGUGCAUCAAGGCAAUAAAAAUAGUUUUCAUAAGAUUAUGCCUUUGGAAAUCUGGCACAAAAUGUGAUUUCACUUAGUGAGUGUGGUGUGACAGCUGUAAAUUGUCACAUUCCAGCUUAAUGCUUCAAUAUUGUAUUUUCAGUGUGGCUGAGUUGCUGGUUUUUUCUGGCUUUGAUUGCAUUUUCCACAGAGAAGCUGGCACUCAGACAAAUCCCCUGAGACACCCUCACAAAGAGAUGCUGACAGAUCUCUGUCUCUCAGAGGUUCUAACUGGGCAGUGUUCCAUCCAGACAUGCUGGGCAUGAGCCUGGGUUAUCUGUGUCUGUUGGCCUAUGGGAGGGUCUUCUCAUUUUGUUUUGCCAACAGCCAAGAGAUAUAGAGAGCCCCUUGGGAUGGGAGUUCUGUCCUGGGGCCAACAUGCUCUGGUAGGAAGGCACUGGACCAGUUUAAUAGGGCAAAGAGUCUUAUUCAAAGAAGCCAGAAGUAUUUGAAGAAUCAAAUUUGUCUACCCAGUAUGUGGGUGGGUCAUUGACUAAGUGCUUAAUAAAUAAUUGGUAGAGUGUUCAGGCAUUCUCCUCAAUACUAGUGAUGUAUAGCUGAAUACCUAAUUCAAAGAACUCACCCUAACUUGUUUGGGGAAGUAGCCUGUAGUGGCCAGCCCUUUUUUGGCUGCCCCUUCCCAACCCUAAGACUGCUUAUAACCCAUUCAAUGAAUUUUCAAGUAGUUAUUAUCAAGUACUUCUUAUGGGCCAGGGACUGUGGUCUGCCUAAGAUGUGCAGAAAUGAGCAAGACAGAUUUUUCUAGGAUUAGUAUUGUACACACCAAAAUGUUAUAAUGGUUAUCUUAAGGGGGUAGAAUUAGAUGGAGACAUGGUGAAGGACACUUAAUUUUUCAUUUUGAACUUUACUAUUUGAACUUUUUGUGACAAGCUGUUGGCCAUGAUACUUUUUUGUAUCUCGACAAAAAUCUUCCCUGGGUUCCUGGAUGGCUUAGUUGGUUAAGUGUUGGACUUCAGCUCAGGUCAUGAUCUCACAGUUCGUGAGUUCAAGCCCCAUAUUGGGCUUUGUACUGUCAGUGCUUCAGAUCCUCUGUUUCCCUCUCUCUCUGUCCCUCCUCCUCCUCUCUCUCUCUCUCAAAAAUAAAUAAACAUAUUUUAAAAAGUCUUCUGAGCAACUGUUUGUGCCACUCUUCUGAGCUUUGAGAACACAGCAAUGAAUGAAGCAGAAAAAGUGCCCUGUUCUCACAGAACUUCCAUUCCAACUGGAGAAGCACCACAAAACAAAAUAGUUCACACAAGUAUGCCAUAUAAUGAUGAUCAAUGACAUGUCCUAUGGAAAAAAUAAAUACUUUUUAAAAAUAAAAGAGUUAUUCUGAUUUGUUCAGAUACUCUUGACUCUUUGGAGACCAGGAUUCUUCACUGGCCUGGGCAAAUAGCAUUGACGGAAGUGGGCCAGAGGGCCAACCCUCAAAGCCUUGAACCAUUUGGACUCAUUCUGCACUCUUUCCAGCCAGCAUAAAUGAAAAGGCAGUCUGAGCUGCCUACAUUCUUUGGGCAUAAGAGUGAUGUCAGUCCAGAGAGUCUGACCUGGCUAGUUGCUCUUCAUUGGAGCCCAGGCCUUUCCCCACCCAGUCUGGGGACAGAACUCACUGCUGUGCCAGUAUUUGAAGGUACUGACCCUGCCUACCCCACAUUCAUUGCCUGCUUCUUCUUUCCAACUUCACCAGCUGGUUUCCAGGGACCUGAUCCUGCUGGCUUUUGGCCUGCCCUGUCUGACAGCUGCCUGAACACUGGGACUUAAAAAUUAGUUCUAAAUGCCUGAGUCCAGCCACCACAUUCCAAUCUAUUUUUAGGACCAAUCCUCCUUCUUUGGCUCCCUGAGAAACCACUCUUCUUUUUCUGUUUCUUAAACUACUUCCAUUCCCAGUUCAGACUGAGGUCUCCUCACCUGGGAAUGCAAAGCUUAGGGUUUCCAGUUCCCACUCACCAGCCAAGGAGAAGAUGCUGUUUUCACUCAAUUUCUCUAGUCUGAGAAGAGGUAAGACUUGAUAUGAUAGUAAGUUAAAGAAAGACAGCCAAAAUUGUAUGCACAUGGACAUUACUAACAUUUAAAAAUUAUUUUUAUUUUAAUCAUGAAAGUGACACAAGCGUAUUGCAAAAACUUUAGAGAAUACAGUAAGAAUAAUUUAUAUUUUAAUUAUUAUUUUCUUCUUGAUCUGUUCUUGUGCUCAGAAGUUUGUUGUUAUUGGUUAAAUAUAUUAUUCGUGCACACAGGAUAAAAUUCAAGUAGUAAAACAUCACUGUUCCCCUGCCAUCCGGUUCUUCUCCUGAAGGGAAUUGUUCAUAAUAUUCUUUUAUAAUCCUUUUUAUUUCUGUAAAAUCUGUAGUGAUGUUCUACUUUCUUUCCUGAUUUUGGUAAUGUGGUUUUUCUCACUUUAUAUUUCAGUCAACCUAAGUAAAGAUUUGUCAAUUUUGUUGAUCUUUUUUAAAGAACCAGCUUUUGGUGUUGAUUUUCUUCAUGUCGUUUUUCUAUUCUCUUGUUUUUGCCUCCGUGCCAUUGUUCUCUAUCUACUGCUAGCUGUGGACUCAGUUUGCUCUUCUUUUUCUAGUUCCUUAAGGUGUAAAAUCAGGUUGUUAAUUGACUUUGCCACUCUUUCUAAUAUACAUGUGUAUGUAUUAUUUUUAUUUUAUUUUAAUUAUCCUACGGUAUAAUUGAGUUUUUGCAAUGCUGUUUUAUGAAUUUUAGCAAAUAAACAGAUUUACAUAACUAAUGUCACAAUCAGGAUACAGAAGAUCUACUUAUUUUGUUAGUUACUGAGAAAUGAAUUGCAAAAUCUUCAGCUAUAAUUGUGAUGUGUGCAUUUAUUUCUUUCAUAAUUGUUACCAGCAGUUGUUGAUAUGAUAUAUAAAGUUACUUUCUCCUUUUGUAAUUAAUCAUAUUUUAUGGUGUUUUGAAACUAUGUAAAUAUUAUAUUUUCAUCAAAAUUUUAAUUUAUUCAUUGAUUUUAAAUUUUUAUUUUUUAUUUCAUUUUAGAGAGAAAAAGCACAUGAGUGGGGGAGAGGAGCACAGGGAGAGAGGGGGUGGGGGGAGAGAAAUCUUAAGCAGGCCCCAAGCUCAGAGCAGGGUCAGGCUUAAUUCUAUGACCCUGGAAUUAUGACCUGGAAUUAUGAGCUGAAAUCAAGAGUCAGACACUCAACCGAUGGAGCCACCUACAUGCCCCUGAUUUUUUAUUAAUAUAAAUUCAUAAUUUCAUAUUUUAUCUGAUGGGCUAUAGUCUGUUAAAAUAUCAUUAUUUAUUUUGCAGCUCACAUUACAUGCGAUUUCAUCACUAGAGCUUCUUCAAGCUUGCUCGAGUCCCUUUGAUAUGUCCCUGUCAUUCUUUGAGCACUUCCUUGUUUCUUGCACAAGAUGUUCCAGUCUCACUUGUAUUUUUCCAUGCCCCAAACUUGCAAUCAGCCAUUUCUCCAAGAAAUGGAGAAUGUUAUUUAGAACCAAGAUCUUGACACUAAGUAUAUUGAUUGUUUUUGGGUGUCAUUGCCCCUAAGCUCUUUUAUUUUUUAUUUUAUUUUAUUUUUAAGUAAACUCUAUGCCCAGUGUGGGAGUCAAACUCAUGACCCUGAGAUCAAAAAUCACAUGCUCUAGGGGUGCCUGGGUGGCUCAGUCGGUUGGGCGUCCAACUUCAGCUCAGGUCAUAAUCUCACCGUCCGUGGGUUCGAGCCCUGCAUCAGGUUCUGUGCUGACAGCUCGGAGCCUGGAACCUGCUCGGAGCCUGGAUUCUGUGUCUCCCUCUCUCUCUGCCCCUCCCCUGCUCAAGCUCUGUCUCUGUCUCUCUCAAAAAUAAAUAAAUAUUUUUUAAAAAUUUAAAAAAAAAUCACAUGCUCUACCAUCUGAGUGAGCCACGCACUCCUACCCCCAGGCCCUUUUAGUAGACACACUUAUUUAUAUUUAUAUUCAUUCCUACAUCGAUCCAUCAUCUAUUGAUCUACCUAUCAUCUAUCCAUGUACUGAAAACUAUGAUUUUGCACCAAUACCUCCAAUUUCAAUCCAACAUCACGGGUUUCAUUCCACUUUUCUACCUUUCCGUGUUUCUAACUCUAAUACUGGUAAGAAAAUCCAGGCUUCUAUUAUUCCUAAUACUAUUACUUAUUUUUUAUCAAUCUACUAGUUUGUAACCAAUCUCUUAUUCCUGUACCCCUCUCUCUCCUGUGCAGAUGCCCACCUUAUCCCACUUGAACUCCAACAGACACCUUGCACCAGGUUGCCCUACAUGGAGGCACUUUCACCCAGUUUUGCCUCUGACUUCUUGUGCCAUCAUUGCCUCCUGUGGGGACACUCUCCUCAUCCUCCUUUGGCAUUGAAAACCUGGUUUGAGCUGCUGCUUCUGAGGGAUACCCUUGUCACCUGGUGAGCAGAGAAGAGUUAAUAUAGCAGACCUGAGACUGCUCUCCAUAGAAGAGCCUGCUUGAAAGGUUGGCCUGUGGCUAGCGUCUGGUAACUUGGAUUUCAGGAGGGUUUCAGCAUUCCCGUGAGAAGGGUGGCUCACUGUGUCCCAACUGUUUGUAUAAAUAACAUGCUUUAUACUGAACAAACUGCUUUCCUUGUGGGUAUCUGGGAUUCUGGCUAGGCAUAGAGUGCCUAUAUGACCAACUUCCAACAAAAACUUUGGGCCCUGAGUCUCUAAUAGGCUUCCCUGGUAGACAACAUUUCAUACAUGUUGUCACAAUUUGUUGCUGGAGGAAUUAAGCAUGUUCUGUAUGACUCCACUGGGAGAGAGAACCCUCAGAAGCUUGUAUCUAGUGUCCUCUGGACUUUACCUCAUGUACCUUUCCUUUUGCUGAUUUUGGUUUGUAUCAUUUUGCUGUAAUAAAUCCUAGCCAUGAGUAUGACUAUGUGCUGGGUCCUGGUUAAUCAUUGAACCUGGGGGUAGUCUUGGGGACCUCUGUCAAACCUGGCUUGGGUUCUGAAAACUUGGAAUGGGCUGCCUCU